This 302-nucleotide long non-coding RNA is filed under the name Vigna radiata. RNAcentral's name for it is "long non-coding RNA (VRAD_LNC011718)". Lineage: Eukaryota; Viridiplantae; Streptophyta; Magnoliopsida; Fabales; Fabaceae. The record is from RNAcentral.
AACUCACUAAUGGGUGCUAAAAGAGUUUGGGUCAAGCUCGUAACGGUAAACAAACGCUACCUGGGAGGCAACCCAAUUGGUCAAACUUAAUUUUUGUUUUUUUUUUUUUAUUUAUUUCUCUUCUAGUUGCAUUAUAGGUGUGAUAAUGCUAAGACUUACCAUUAUCUAAGCAUCAUUUUAGUAGCAAAAUCAACUCUUUUCUAGCUUGAAAAUUGCUUAUAUAACUUUUUUAUCUAGUUUUAGUAUUUAUCUAUAUUUUGAGCUACAUUACGUAAAUAAUACUCUAAUCCCUUGUUUUUUUA